Molecule: non-coding RNA, 840 nt
Organism: Peromyscus maniculatus bairdii (prairie deer mouse)
Lineage: Eukaryota; Metazoa; Chordata; Mammalia; Rodentia; Cricetidae
Source: RefSeq, a predicted model, not a curated record
GCUGCGGUCACACUUGGGCAGCCCUAGUGUGUGGGCGGCACUGAAGUUAGGACUCAGUGCUGCAGGGUGGCUCUCUCCUGCCUGGGACACUGUGAGAACCCAGACUGAGCUCUGGGAACAGACAGAAAGGGACCAGCUCAUACCCACCAUCUCGAUGACACUUCCUGGGAGCUGGCACAGGGCGUGGCAAGGAGUAAGUAAACAGGAGGGGUCUGCCCUCGGAGAGCUAUAAUCCUCUAUGGAAGGCUGAACAGACAGUAAUAAAAUGCUACGUGGCCACGGGUUGUCUGGGUCAGUGUUCCACGGCUGCGGCGAACACCUGGAAAUGUCAACUCAAGAAAGCAAAGAUUUGUUUGGGCUCACACUUUCAAAGUUUACAGUCCGUGAUCAGCUGGCUCCAUCAUUCCCAGAGACCUCAGCCGAUCUAAAUGUGGAAUUGUGGAGCUCAGUCCUGACGAAUACAGCUACUAAACAACUCAAGCACCUAAGGCGCAGGGAACAUUGUGGAAGAAGGGUCGGAAAGAUUGUAAAAGUCAGAGGAUCAGGGAGUUUGCUUUGAGACUGUGUCUCCUACUAAUGUCAAAAGCUACACCCACACACCACUGGUAAGACCUACCUAAAUAUGAGCUGAACAAGGACAACAAGAGACAUGCUAACGUGGGCAGGGGAAAGGCCUCAACUCCACACAGAGACCUACAGGCCACUAAGGAAUGUCAACAGUGGGGGAAAUCAUCUUCUCUCAGAAGAGCACACCAAUUGGCUAGUCAUUACCAAAUGGUCAACCCUGAAAACACAAACAAGUGACAUUAUACAGACUGAUAGGCGUGCCCUUAGGAACGU